This 844-nucleotide ribosomal RNA is filed under the name Streptomyces graminearus. Its description in RNAcentral is "bacterial SSU rRNA". It matches the Rfam family "Bacterial small subunit ribosomal RNA", at positions 1 to 891 of the family's 1533-position model. Lineage: Bacteria; Bacillati; Actinomycetota; Actinomycetes; Kitasatosporales; Streptomycetaceae. The record is from RNAcentral.
GGGUUUUUUUUAGAUUUUCCCGUCGACGACGCUGUUGCGGGUUUACCACAGUCGACGAGACCGCUUCGGCGGCGAUAGUGGCGAACGGUGAGUACACGUGGCAAUUGCCUGCCUCUGGACAAGCCUGAAACGGGUCUAAUCCGGAUAGACCGUCCCCGCAUGGGGAUGGUGUAAAGCUCCGGCGGUGCAGGAUGAGCCCGCGGCCUAUCAUCUUGUUGGUGAGGUAGUGGCUCACCAAGGCGACGACGGGUAGCCGGCCUGAGAGGGCGACCGGCCACUCUGGGACUGAGACACGGCCCAGACUCCUACGGGAGGCAGCAGUGGGGAAUAUGCACAAUGGGGAAAGCCUGAUGCAGCGACGCCGCGUGAGGGAUGACGCCUUCGGGUUGUAAACCUCUUUCAGCAGGGAAGAAGCGAAAGUGACGGUACCUGCAGAAGAAGCGCCGGCUAACUACGUGCCAGCAGCCGCGGUAAUACGUAGGGCGCAAGCGUUGUCCGGAAUUAUUGGGCGUAAAGAGCUCGUAGGCGGCUUGUCACGUCGGUUGUGAAAGCCCGGGGCUUAACCCCGGGUCUGCAGUCGAUACGGGCAGGCUAGAGUUCGGUAGGGGAGAUCGGAAUUCCUGGUGUAGCGGUGAAAUGCGCAGAUAUCAGGAGGAACACCGGUGGCGAAGGCGGAUCUCUGGGCCGAUACUGACGCUGAGGAGCGAAAGCGUGGGGAGCGAACAGGAUUAGAUACCCUGGUAGUCCACGCCGUAAACGGUGGGCACUAGGUGUGGGCAACAUUCCACGUUGUCCGUGCCGCAGCUAACGCAUUAAGUCCUCCGCCCUGGGAGUCCGCCACCGC